Non-coding RNA from Cinara cedri, 287 nucleotides. NCBI's taxonomy places the organism in Eukaryota, Metazoa, Arthropoda, Insecta, Hemiptera, Aphididae. The record is from the annotation of a GenBank genome assembly.
AUACAUAUUUUCUCCACAAAAUCGCUGCUAAAUGAUUGGCGGCUGUUUUUAAAGAUUUUACCCAACUGCUUUAAUUUAUCGGUGCAUUGAAGACAAAACAAAUCGAGGGAAAAUUAUUUUGUAACACACAGUGUGUGAAAUUUCCAAAAAAAAGUGGCUGAGCAUUUGAUCAGGUAUUUGUGUCGAAUUUCGUUUUUAAUAGAAUAAAUUCACAGGUACACCUAUAAAGUUAAUGUAAUACAAUAUAGAUUAUAUAUCUAUACAAGCGUUCACCUUACAUCCAUUCG